Molecule: non-coding RNA, 76 nt
Organism: Myotis lucifugus (little brown bat)
Lineage: Eukaryota; Metazoa; Chordata; Mammalia; Chiroptera; Vespertilionidae
Source: Rfam
GACGGUCCUUGGGUGACACACCCCGGAAUCAGGCUCAUUCCUCUCUGGUUCCAGGCUGGGUCACCUGAGAACCACC